RNAcentral lists this transfer RNA (77 nucleotides) under Erythrobacter dokdonensis DSW-74. Its description in RNAcentral is "Porphyrobacter dokdonensis DSW-74 tRNA-Arg". It matches the Rfam family "tRNA". From Rfam's summary of the family: Transfer RNA (tRNA) molecules are approximately 80 nucleotides in length. Lineage: Bacteria; Pseudomonadati; Pseudomonadota; Alphaproteobacteria; Sphingomonadales; Erythrobacteraceae. RNAcentral also lists the same sequence under 2 other names. The record is from RNAcentral.
GACCCCGUAGCUCAGCAGGAUAGAGCAUCAGAUUCCUAAUCUGAGGGCCGCGCGUUCGAAUCGCGCCGGGGUCGCCA